Tachyglossus aculeatus (Australian echidna) is the source of this 137-nucleotide small nucleolar RNA. Lineage: Eukaryota; Metazoa; Chordata; Mammalia; Monotremata; Tachyglossidae. The record is from RefSeq and is a predicted model, not a curated record.
CCCAUCUCAGGAUCACACCUGGAGAGUUUCCAGUACUCUACCAGUCUGGGCUACAGGAGGGAGAGUUGGCAGAGGCCUACCCAUUCCAUUUUUAGCUUGGGCAGUGGCUAGUAAGUGAAAGGCAAUCUACUACAAGU